This 382-nucleotide ribosomal RNA is filed under the name uncultured prokaryote. Its description in RNAcentral is "partial 16S ribosomal RNA". The record is from RNAcentral.
CCCUCUGAGGUGCCCGCGGAGGUGCGGAUAUCUGGACCUUGUGGCGCUUCGCUACGCGUGCAUGGUCAACUCCAUCGACAGGCUCGUCCUUACACACCUCGAUGUCUAUGAUACGCUCCCCGAGUUUGAAGCCUGCGUCGGGUACCGGAUAGGCGACAAAGUAGUGCAGGAUUUUCCCGCGUCCAUAAAAGACUUGGAGUCUGCGGUACCCGUCCUUAAGCGGUUUGAAGGCUGGCAGCAACCAAUCGAGAAUUGCCAGAGUUGGGAAGACCUGCCCCUCAAAGCUAAGGAAUAUGUCGAUUUUAUCGAGGACUACACCCAGACGCCUAUUUCGAUUAUCUCGGUCGGCUCGGAACGCCGCAAGACGAUAAUCAGGGAGAGC